CCAGACUCCUACGGGAGGCAGCAGUGGGGAAUAUUGCACAAUGGGGGAAACCCUGAUGCAGCAACGCCGCGUGAGUGAAGAAGUAUUUCGGUAUGUAAAGCUCUAUCAGCAGGGAAGAAGAUGACGGUGCCUGAUUAAGAAGCCCCGGCUAACUACGUGCCAGCAGCCGCGGUAAUACGUAGGGGGCAAGCGUUAUCCGGAUUUACUGGGUGUAAAGGGAGCGCAGACGGCAGUGCAAGUCUGGAGUGAAAGCCCGGGGCCCAACCCCGGAACUGCUCUGGAAACUGUGCGGCUGGAGUGCAGGAGGGGUAAGCGGAAUUCCUAGUGUAGCGGUGAAAUGCGUAGAUAUUAGGAGGAACACCGGUGGCGAAGGCGGCUUACUGGACUGUAACUGACGUUGAGGCUCGAAAGCGUGGGGAGCAAACAGGAUUAGAUACCCCAGUAC
Molecule: ribosomal RNA, 445 nt
Filed under: uncultured bacterium
Lineage: Bacteria
Description: bacterial SSU rRNA
Rfam family: Bacterial small subunit ribosomal RNA
Source: RNAcentral